GACGAACGCUGGCGGCGUGCUUAACACAUGCAAGUCGAACGGAAAGGCCCUGCUUGCAGGGUGCUCGAGUGGCGAACGGGGGAGUAACACGUGGGUGAUCUGCCCCUUACUUUGGGAUAAGCCUGGGAAACUGGGUCUAAUACUGGAUAGGACCAUGCUGUAUGUGGUGUGGUGGAAAGAUUAGUUUCGGUAAGGGAUGAGCUCGCGGCCUAUCAGCUUGUUGGUGGGGUAAUGGCCUACCAAGGCGUCGACGGGUAGCCGGCCUGAGAGGGUGGACGGCCACAUUGGGACUGAGAUACGGCCCAGAAGCCUCCGGGAGGCAGCAGUGGGGAAGAUUGUACCAUGGGCGCAAGACGGAUGCUGCGACGCCGCGGGGGGGAUGACGGCCUUCGGGUUGUAAACUCCUUCCAGCCAUGACGAAGCCCUUGUGGUGACGGUAGUGGUAGAAGAAGCACCGGCUAACUACGUG
This 469-nucleotide ribosomal RNA is filed under the name uncultured bacterium. RNAcentral's name for it is "partial 16S ribosomal RNA". It matches the Rfam family "Bacterial small subunit ribosomal RNA", at positions 28 to 507 of the family's 1533-position model. The record is from RNAcentral.